This 292-nucleotide ribosomal RNA is filed under the name uncultured bacterium. RNAcentral's name for it is "partial 16S ribosomal RNA". It matches the Rfam family "Bacterial small subunit ribosomal RNA", at positions 505 to 796 of the family's 1533-position model. The record is from RNAcentral.
GUGCCAGCAGCCGCGGUAAUACGGAGGGUGCGAGCGUUAAUCGGAAUUACUGGGCGUAAAGCGCACGCAGGCGGUUUGUUAAGCUAGAUGUGAAAGCCCCGGGCUCAACCUGGGACGGUCAUUUAGAACUGGCAGACUAGAGUCUUGGAGAGGGGAGUGGAAUUCCAGGUGUAGCGGUGAAAUGCGUAGAUAUCUGGAGGAACAUCAGUGGCGAAGGCGACUCCCUGGCCAAAGACUGACGCUCAUGUGCGAAAGUGUGGGUAGCGAACAGGAUUAGAUACCCUUGUAGUCC